GACGAACGCUGGCGGCGUGCUUAACACAUGCAAGUCGAACGGAAAGGCCCUGCUUUUGUGGGGUGCUCGAGUGGCGAACGGGUGAGUAACACGUGAGUAACCUGCCCUUGACUUUGGGAUAACUUCAGGAAACUGGGGCUAAUACCGGAUAGGAGCUCCUGCUGCAUGGUGGGGGUUGGAAAGUUUCGGCGGUUGGGGAUGGACUCGCGGCUUAUCAGCUUGUUGGUGGGGUAGUGGCUUACCAAGGCUUUGACGGGUAGCCGGCAUGAGAGGGUGACCGGCCACAAUGGGACUGAGAUAGGGCGCAGACGGGUACGGGAGGCAGCAGUGGGGAAUAUUGCACAAUGGGCGGAAGCGUGAUGCAGCAACGCCGCGUGCGGGAUGACGGCCUUCGGGUUGUAAAACGCUUUCGCAUGUGACGAAGAGUGAGUGACGGUAAUGGGUAAAGAAGCACCGGCUAACUACGUG
This 468-nucleotide ribosomal RNA is filed under the name uncultured bacterium. Its description in RNAcentral is "partial 16S ribosomal RNA". It matches the Rfam family "Bacterial small subunit ribosomal RNA", at positions 28 to 507 of the family's 1533-position model. The record is from RNAcentral.